RNAcentral lists this long non-coding RNA (357 nucleotides) under Manihot esculenta (cassava). RNAcentral describes it as "long non-coding RNA (MESC_LNC012084)". The record is from RNAcentral. Lineage: Eukaryota; Viridiplantae; Streptophyta; Magnoliopsida; Malpighiales; Euphorbiaceae.
UAAACUUAACUCUUUGACUUGCACAAUGGAAUGUUUUAGCAUAUCUCAUGCAUCAUGAUUAUGCAAUAGGUUGAUUGCAUUAGUAUCCACGAAUAUGUUGCAUUGCAUAGUUAUUGUUGAUGUGGGUGAAUGCUGAAUGAUCCAAUAGUCUCAGACAGGAAGUCCAGGAGCCUUUGACUACGCCCUGGCAGGUAUAGUAAAGACCAGGAGCCUUUGACUACGCCCUGGCAGUUAUAGUAAAGACCAGGAGCCUUUGACUACGCCCUGGCAAUGGUAAGUACAGAGGUGUUAUAUACACAUAUACAUAUAUGACAGGAAGACCAGGUGCUCGAUUCUACGCCCUGGCACAGAGUUACU